UCACUAUAGGCGAUGAUUAGCGCCGCGAUUCGUCUUGUGCCAGCAGCCGCGGUAAUUCCAGCUCCAAUAGCGUAUAUUAAAGUUGUUGUGGUUAAAAAGCUCGUAGUUGGAUCUCGGCGGACUGAGGGCGGUUUGCUUGCUAGUAUUACUGCCCUAUAGUCCGUAGUUUUGCCAGAGGUUUCGGGGUGCUCUUAAUCGAGUGUCCCGGGAUGCUGGCAGGUUUACUUUGAAAAAAUUAGAGUGCUCAAAGCAGGCUAUUACGCCUGAAUAUUCGUGCAUGGAAUAAUAGAAUAGGAAGUCGUUUCUAUUUUGUUGGUUUUCGGAAAUCGACUUAAUGAUUAAUAGGGACAGUCGGGGGCAUUUGUAUUCAAACGACAGAGGUGAAAUUCUUGGACCGUUUGAAGACAAACUACUGCGAAAGCAUUUGCCAAGAAUGUUUUCAUUAAUCAAGAACGAAAGUCAAAGGUUCGAAGGCGAUUAGAUACCGCCCUAGUUUUAACCAUAAACGAUGCCAGCUAGCGAUCUGCGGACGUUUUUUUUGUAGACUCCGCAGGAAGCUUCCGGGAAACCAAAGCAUUUGGGUUCCAGGGGAAGUAUGGUUGCAAAGCUGAAACUUAAAGGAAUUGACGGAAGGGCACCACCAGGAGUGGAGCCUGUGGCUUAAUUUGACUCAACACGGGAAAUCUCACCAGGCCCGGACACUGGAAGGAUUGACAGAUUGAUAGCUCUUUCUUGAUUCGGUGGGUGGUGGUGCAUGGCCGUUCUUAGUUGGUGGAGUGAUUUGUCUGGUUAAUUCCGAUAACGAACGAGACUCUGUCCUGCUAAAUAGUGUCUGCUUCUCUUUUGAGCAGACAAUUCUUCUUAGAGGGACUGGCGACUCUUAGUCGCACGAGAUUGAGCAAUAACAGGUCUGUGAUGCCCAAGGCGA
This 928-nucleotide ribosomal RNA is filed under the name uncultured eukaryote. RNAcentral's name for it is "SSU rRNA". It matches the Rfam family "Eukaryotic small subunit ribosomal RNA", at positions 520 to 1480 of the family's 1831-position model. The record is from RNAcentral.